GCCUAACACUCUCAUCUGUUAGAUGCGACAUCUAACCCCAGCACUCACACUCCACUCCUGUUUCCCGCCAAGAGUUGCAGUGAGGGCCUAGGAAGCAUGGAGGUACUCACUAAAUUGGGGGGACAGAGAGUCUGUUGAUUAUUUUCAUUCAUGAGGUAUUUUUUCAUUGACUACUGAGUCCCUGGCAUAAUUUUGGAGAUCACAGAAGUGAGCCCAAACCCCUCACUUCCCUGAGGGAGACUGCAGUCUCAUUGGCCUGGGAAAUGAGAGCUAAGUGACUCCAUGUGUAAAUCAGUAGCAUACAUUCAUUCAUUCACCCACUUUGUGCCCUGCCGUGUGCAGAGUUAGGGGUUUAAGAAAGAGCUAGACAUAUUCCUGCUUAUUUCUAAACAAGGAGAUUUAGAAAUCAGCAUUGUACGCACAUCUUAAUUUGGACUGACCACACUUCAAAGUGUUCAACAGCCACAUGGGGGUAAAGCUAUGGUAUUAGCUCAGGUUUCAUCUAUGCUUGGAGAGCCUGGAGCCACCCGGAAAGGCUGAGCGGCUGAAUCAAAUGUCCUGGCUGGAGGCCGCUGGUGAGAAGCGCAAAGGAGCCAGCCGCAACCAAGAGCUCUGCAAAAUCAAGGUGGACACCGGGCCUCGCUUCUGCCACUCUGCUACCAGACAGAAAAUUUCAGAAAGAGGUCAGUUUAAAACACACACAUUUUAGCCAGGUUUUAAG
Non-coding RNA from Callorhinus ursinus (northern fur seal), 721 nucleotides. NCBI's taxonomy places the organism in Eukaryota, Metazoa, Chordata, Mammalia, Carnivora, Otariidae. The record is from RefSeq and is a predicted model, not a curated record.